GAAACGCGAUAGUUAAUGUGAAUUGCAGAAUUCAGUGAAUCAUCGAGUCUUUGAACGCACAUUGCGCCCAUAGGUAUUCCCUUGGGCAUGUCUGUUUGAGCGUCAUUACAACCCUCAGCUAACCGCUGGUUUUGAACCUGAACGGGUGACACCGCGCCGGUUUUAAAGUUGUAAGCUCUGCUGGCCGCUCUGCCCAACCAGAACAUAGUAAGCACUACUUGUCCGGGUGAAGCUGAACGGUACGGCCUGAACAAAACCUACCCACUCUCAAGGUUUGACCUCAGAUCAGACAAGGAUACCCGCUGAACUUAAGC
This 314-nucleotide unclassified non-coding RNA is filed under the name plant metagenome. RNAcentral's name for it is "partial contains 5.8S ribosomal RNA, internal transcribed spacer 2, and large subunit ribosomal RNA". The stretch from base 1 to 105 matches the Rfam family "5.8S ribosomal RNA", at positions 50 to 154 of the family's 154-position model. The record is from RNAcentral.